This 330-nucleotide ribosomal RNA is filed under the name uncultured eukaryote. Its description in RNAcentral is "partial 18S ribosomal RNA". It matches the Rfam family "Eukaryotic small subunit ribosomal RNA", at positions 1470 to 1796 of the family's 1831-position model. The record is from RNAcentral.
CCCUUAGAUGUUCUGGGCCGCACGCGCGCUACACUGACGAAGUCAGCGAACAUCUCCUACGCCGAAAGGUGCGGGGAAUCUUGUGAAACUUUGUCGUGCUGGGGAUUGAUUUUUGAAAUUCUUGAUCAUCAACGAGGAAUUCCUAGUAAGCGCAAGUCAGCAGCUUGCGUUGAUUACGUCCCUGCCCUUUGUACACACCGCCCGUCGCUACUACCGAUUGAAUGGUUUAGUGAGAUUUUUGGACUGGAACUCUCUUGUUCAGCAAUGAACGAGAGGGACUCUGGGAAGCUAUUCUAACUGUAUCAUUUAGAGGAAGUAAAAGUCGUAACA